UCCUGGCCAGAUUGAACGCUGGCGGCAUGCUUUACACAUGCAAGUCGAACGGCAGCGGGGGCUUCGGCCUGCCGGCGAGUGGCGAACGGGUGAGUAAUGCAUCGGAACGUGCCCAUGUCGUGGGGGAUAACGUAGCGAAAGCUACGCUAAUACCGCAUACGCCCCUGAGGGGGAAAGCGGGGGAUUCUUCGGAACCUCGCGCGAUUGGAGCGGCCGAUGUCGGAUUAGCUAGUAGGUGAGGUAAAGGCUCACCUAGGCGACGAUCCGUAGCGGGUCUGAGAGGAUGAUCCGCCACACUGGGACUGAGACACGGCCCAGACUCCUACGGGAGGCAGCAGUGGGGAAUUUUGGACAAUGGGCGCAAGCCUGAUCCAGCCAUGCCGCGUGAGUGAAGAAGGCCUCGGUUGUUAAGUACGUCGUUUCGGUCCGGGUAACGGAAAGUACGUAGGUC
RNAcentral lists this ribosomal RNA (451 nucleotides) under uncultured bacterium. RNAcentral's name for it is "bacterial SSU rRNA". It matches the Rfam family "Bacterial small subunit ribosomal RNA", at positions 17 to 472 of the family's 1533-position model. The record is from RNAcentral.